Long non-coding RNA from Hylaeus volcanicus, 792 nucleotides. RefSeq lists it as uncharacterized. Lineage: Eukaryota; Metazoa; Arthropoda; Insecta; Hymenoptera; Colletidae. The record is from RefSeq and is a predicted model, not a curated record. The transcript has 3 exons.
GGAGACUAUAGGAACCCGUGUUAUCCACGGCGGACACGUUUUGAAUUUUUCUGACCGGUUCUCGAGAUGGUUUUCCGAUACAGGAAGCCACGACCAAGAUUCGAUGCCAAAUAUAUUUAAUCCAUUGAUGUCUAUACCCCAAAUGCCCUCGAAGCAUAAUUUUAUAUCACUGUUAAAUAUUGCAUGCCGACAGCGCGAUUUUAAAAAGCUGACCGGUCGCGAAAAAAACGUUAACACUGGAGUAAGACGUACUCGUGCACGCACGCUAUCAAGGCCGUGAUCAUGUUAUGGAGGGAGCACCGAAACGGGGGCACAGGCGACGGUACGUACCUGUGAUCUUUUACAAGUUGUUAGAGACUCCUUAUGCUCAGAGGGAGUGCGCAAGGUAGUCGCCAUUUUCCUGUACUCCACUUGAAAAUCUACCUUCUAACGUCGACCAGCUAUAUAGGGUGUGCUGGAACCGAUUAUUCGAACUUUUUGUACACCUGGUACUUGUCAAAAUAAGAAAAAAAGAGUUUCCAAGUUAGAAAGAAAAAUCUUAUUUCGUGGGAACAGGCAUUCGAAAUGUCUCUUAGACGGUUGCUGGUAUUAUUACCAUUAUUCUUAUCGUCAUUUUACAUCUACGACCAUCUAGAAUCUACUGUCGUGGGCGAUGUCAGAUACCAAUCUUGAAGUGAACGUGUUCGCAAACUUAUGUUUGCACAUUCGCGGAAUUCCCAUGCAGAGUCUGGUGAAACGUUUUACGAUAGCAUUUUACUGCCCAAGUUAAAUAAAAAUAUAUCUCUCGAGAAA